ACUCAAAUGAAUUGACGGGGGUCCGCACAAGCGGUGGAACAUGUGGUUUAAUUCGACACUACGCGAGGAACCUUACCUAGGUUUGACAUGCAUAUGACCGCUACAGAGAUGUAGUUUUCUAAGGGAAACCUUAGACAUUUGCACAGGUGCUGCAUGGCUGUCGUCAGCUCGUGUCGUGAGAUGUUGGGUUAAGUCCUAUAACGAGCGCAACCCUUGCCGACAGUUGCUAUUCGAAAGAAGCACUCUGUUGGGACUGCCUGGGAAACCAGGAGGAAGGUGGGGAUGAUGUCAAGUCCGCAUGGUCCUUAUGCCUAGGGCAACACACGUGUUACAAUGGCCAAUACAAAGGGUAGCAAACUCGCAAGGGGAAGCCAAUCCCAUAAAGUUGGUCUAAGUUCAGAUUGAGGUCUGCAACUCGACCUCAUGAAGUUGAAAUCGCUAGUAAUCGCAUAUCAGAACGAUGCGGUGAAUACGUUCUCGGACCUUGUACACACCGCCCGU
This 501-nucleotide ribosomal RNA is filed under the name uncultured bacterium. RNAcentral's name for it is "partial 16S ribosomal RNA". It matches the Rfam family "Bacterial small subunit ribosomal RNA", at positions 899 to 1397 of the family's 1533-position model. The record is from RNAcentral.